RNAcentral lists this ribosomal RNA (468 nucleotides) under uncultured bacterium. RNAcentral describes it as "partial 16S ribosomal RNA". It matches the Rfam family "Bacterial small subunit ribosomal RNA", at positions 28 to 507 of the family's 1533-position model. The record is from RNAcentral.
GACGGACGCUGGCGGCGUGCUUAACACAUGCAAGUCGAACGGAAAGGCCCUGCUUUUGUGGGGUGCUCGAGUGGCGAACGGGUGAGUAACACGUGAGUAACCUGCCCUUGACUUUGGGAUAACUUCAGGAAACUGGGGCUAAUACCGGAUAGGAGCUCCUGCUGCAUGGUGGGGGUUGGAAAGUUUCGGCGGUUGGGGAUGGACUCGCGGCUUAUCAGCUUGUUGGUGGGGUAGUGGCUUACCAAGGCUUUGACGGGUAGCCGGCCUGAGAGGGUGACCGGCCACAUUGGGACUGAGAUACGGCCCAGACUCCUACGGGAGGCAGAAGUGGGGAAUAUUGCACCAUGGGCGGAAGCCUGAUGCAGCAACGCCGCGUGCGGGAUGACGGCCUUCGGGUUGUAAACCGCUUUCGCCUGUGACGAAGCGUGAGUGACGGUAAUGGGUAAAGAAGCACCGGCUAACUACGUG